Long non-coding RNA from Pollicipes pollicipes, 474 nucleotides. RefSeq lists it as uncharacterized. The transcript has 4 exons. NCBI's taxonomy places the organism in Eukaryota, Metazoa, Arthropoda, Thecostraca, Pollicipedomorpha, Pollicipedidae. The record is from RefSeq and is a predicted model, not a curated record.
AUCCAGAGCUACAGACUGCGGUAUAUGGAGGUGGGCACUGACCAGUGGGUGUACCACUCGGUACCGGUGCCGGCCAACGCCACGUCGUUCGUGGUAGACAGCCUGAAGCCGAACCGGGGGCUACAGGGUUCAGCUGACUGCCGUCAACGCUGUGGGCUCUAGUGAGGCAGCCGAGCGAGGCCAGGACGGCCGCCUCAUCACGCAGGAGCGCGAUCCCACGUACAAGCCGGUGCUGUCGGUGAAGGCGGCCACCACCGAGUCGCUGACGCUCAGCUGGUCCCAGCCGUCGCCCGAUGUGGCGCCGUUCAUCCAGUCUUACCGGCUGAUGCGCACCGACGGCGAGGACCGCAGCAACGUGGAGGAGCUGGUGGUGUUCCACCCGACGACGCUGUUCCUGUGGCCAGAUCUCAGGGCCGGCCGUACCUACAACAUCUCCGUGCGCGCCUGUAACGACUUGGUGCCGCUAUGCGGUCC